Molecule: long non-coding RNA, 645 nt
Filed under: Dicentrarchus labrax (European seabass)
Lineage: Eukaryota; Metazoa; Chordata; Actinopteri; Moronidae
Description: lncRNA (ENSDLAG00005031049.1)
Source: RNAcentral
CUCAGGCAGAGAGAACUGACGCAGUCCAGGCCUCAGCUGGAGCUUUUAAGGAGCAAUCAACAUGUAACCAGAGCCACAGAACACGUCGAUUUAUAUUGUUACUCCAAUGUAUACCAUGAUGAUACCACUUCACUACAUAUUUCAUCGUCAUUUCUACCCUAACCCUAACGCAACUUAAUUAUUCAUAUCAGUAACAAGCUAAAUACCUAUACUUCAUCAAUGCAAUCCCUCUGUCAACAAUUUAGAUUUGUGAUCAAUCAAUGCAAUCAAGACAUUUAAUUUAAACAGACAUGUUUUUCUUUAAAUGUCUUUGAAAGAAAAAGCGUCAGCCGAAAACCACACAGAAUACAUUAUCAUAUAAUGAACACGAGCUAUCAGAGCAGCAGGUUCUUGAGGGUUGGACCAUUCGGCAUAGCUGGAAGCACUUGGGCCUGUUGUUUCCCAGCUAUAAAAGCCCCGCCUCUCUAGCUGACUCACUAGCUCUCUCUCUCUAACUUACUAUCAUCGCUGGUAUUCGGAGUAGUUGUGUUUUAACAUCCAACAUUUACUUUUCAUUAUACAUCACCACUCAUGCAUACAAACACUUUCACUACUGACGAUACUGACUAACACAUCUCAUCUUCUAUUUAGUUAUUUAGCUGGAUG